UACGAAGGGUGCAAGCGUUACUCGGAAUUACUGGGCGUAAAGCGUGCGUAGGUGGUUUCUUAAGUCUGCUGUGAAAGCCCCGGGCUCAACCUGGGAAUUGCAGUGGAUACUGGGGAGCUAGAGUGCGGUAGAGGGUAGUGGAAUUCCCGGUGUAGCGGUGAAAUGCGUAGAGAUCGGGAGGAACACCAGUGGCGAAGGCGGCUACCUGGACCAGCACUGACACUGAGGCACGAAAGCGUGGGGAGCAAACGGG
RNAcentral lists this ribosomal RNA (253 nucleotides) under uncultured bacterium. Its description in RNAcentral is "partial 16S ribosomal RNA". It matches the Rfam family "Bacterial small subunit ribosomal RNA", at positions 524 to 776 of the family's 1533-position model. The record is from RNAcentral.